CCUACGGGAGGCAGCAGUGGGGAAUCUUGCACAAUGGGGGAAACCCUGAUGCAGCGAUGCCGCGUGAGUGAAGAAGGCCUUUGGGUUGUAAAACUCUUUCGUCGGGGAAGAAAAUGACUGUACCCGAAUAAGAAGGUCCGGCUAACUUCGUGCCAGCAGCCGCGGUAAUACGAAGGGACCUAGCGUAGUUCGGAAUUACUGGGCUUAAAGAGCUCGUAGGUGGUUAAAAAAGUUGGUGGUGAAAUCCCAAGGCUUAACCUUGGAACUGCCAUCAAAACUUUUUAGCUAGAGUAUGAUAGAGGAAAGUGGAAUUUCUAGUGUAGAGGUGAAAUUCGUAGAUAUUAGAAAGAACACCAAAUGCGAAGGCAACUUUCUGGAUCAUUACUGACACUGAGGAGCGAAAGCAUGGGUAGCGAAGAGGAUUAGAUACCCUCGUAGUCCAUGCUGUAAACGAUGUGUGCUAGACGUUGGAAAUUUUAUUUUCAGUGUCGCAGCAAAAGCGUUAAGCACACCGCCUGGGGAGUACGACCGCAAGGUUAAAACUCAAAUGAAUUGA
RNAcentral lists this ribosomal RNA (556 nucleotides) under uncultured bacterium. RNAcentral describes it as "bacterial SSU rRNA". It matches the Rfam family "Bacterial small subunit ribosomal RNA", at positions 338 to 913 of the family's 1533-position model. The record is from RNAcentral.